Molecule: transfer RNA, 88 nt
Filed under: Trithuria filamentosa
Lineage: Eukaryota; Viridiplantae; Streptophyta; Magnoliopsida; Nymphaeales; Hydatellaceae
Description: tRNA-Ser
Rfam family: tRNA
About the family: Transfer RNA (tRNA) molecules are approximately 80 nucleotides in length.
Source: RNAcentral
GGAGAGAUGGCUGAGUGGUUGAUAGCGCCGGUCUUGAAAACCAGUGUAGUUACGAAAACUAUCGAGGGUUCGAAUCCCUCUCUCUCCU